GGCGCCCCCGGGGAGCCGGUGCCGGGCGGGGGGCGCUGGGGGAGGCCGGGGCAGCCGCGGUCCCCUCACGGCUCCCGGCGCGGCGCGGGCGGAGCUGCGGCUGCCGCCGAGGGAAAGCGGCGUCUCCUCCGUGAUUCGCACCCCUCGCCCUGCGCUGGGAAGGCAGAGCCUCCAGUAUUUGGGGUUUUUUUUGUUGUUGUUGUUCUUAAAGUUCGAUUCUAAAUGUGUCGCCCAUCGUUGGGUUUGGAUGAGUUCAUUCCUCGUGGGUGGUGGCGGGCGUGUGGCCGCUGUCCCGGGAGCUGCCGGUUCUUGCCGUGUGGGAACACCGGGUUUCGCUUCUCGUGCCUCCAGUGUCUUGUAGGCAGACCUCGGACCGUGUUUUUCAAAAGAAAAAUAAGCAAAUAGACAGAAAUACUGGGGGAGUUGCCUACGUUCAGGUGUAGCUCAGUGUCCUCCGGAUCGUCUGGUUUCUGUGAGAUCGUUUUGAUCUGUGAGAGAUGCUCCAAGGCUGAAAUCCAGGGGAUUUGGUCACACUUGGUAUGGAUGUGCUGGAGCACUACAAAAUGCCAGAGACUCGGGAAAUGCCAGCUAUCGCAGUUAAUGAUCAGUGACUUUUACUGGGAGGAGAUAAAGAGACCGAGCUGUCUGUGUGAUGACCGUUCCCUGUCACAGACUCUCUGCUUCAGGUGCAGGUCCCCAAACUUUGCGAUUGUGAUGUGCAGAAGAUAGAAACAAACUGUCACUGAAUUCUCCUUCUCUGCCUGAGCGCAGCCACUGAUCAAUGGUCUUCAGCGGAUGAAAUACCAGUUGGUAGCUUGUGGCCAUGGGGCACAGAUGGCAAAGGAGGCUGUGCCUCAAGUAUCCCUGCUGUCCCUCCCUUCCCGGGUCAUCUUUGUUAAUCUCGAUGUCAGUGCCGUGCUGGUGCUGCUGUUGAAAAGCAGAUACCUGUCUGAUGCUGCUCUGGAGAGGGUCUUGAAAUCCCGAGUAGUUCAUUCAUAAAAGGGAUCCAGAGGGAUUUCUGGGGGAUUCAUACAGAAUGAUCAUCUGGAAGAAAAGAAGCAGUCAUUAGCAGAUUGAAAAAGUAAUUCUUUCUUUCUAAUGCAGCUGUUAAUAGGUUUCAAGUUGACUGCUUCAGUUGCUAUAGAUUUUUAUCGGUGCUCUCUUCAUGGCACCUAUUGAUUUCUGUCUGUGUGGUGAUACUGAGCUCUGGGGUGCACUCACUGAUCUCAAUCCUGACUGUGUUUUCACGGUUUUAAAUGAAGUUUUUAAUUAUUAGCUGAGAGAUUUCUGUGGUGCUGCCUUGUCCUUGUGUGGGCUGUACAUGUUACAAGGCUCCAGUCUGACUAACUGCUGCUUUUUAGGCUCCUUUGUGCAUCCCUGACUGUGGAAUUUGAAUGUAGCGUUGGUGUAGUCUGUUUUGGGGGAAUUUGACUGUAAUGUGCACAUAAUUGCCAGUUUUAUGACGUGUAUAUAUAUUUUUUUAUAUACUCAUGCCUGUGUCUGAAGCUGGAACAGCUCAAGUGAUGUUGUGGUAAUGAGCAGGACUUGCACAUUUCUUGGUUUCCUCUGUGCACUGAGGGUGUUUCUGUUGGCAGGGACCAGCCAGCACCUCACAGGGUGAUGUUUUCUUUCCAGUAUAAGAAUUUUAAUCGAUGUUUCAACCUAAAGUAAGACAGAGAGGCACCUCUUUGAAGGGAAAUGUGCUCCAUGGGAAUGAGUUGGUUUUAUGGGUCUUAAACUGUUGGUGAGACCGGCUUUGCUUGGAGGGCCAGAGGAGCCUUUCCUGUGCUGAAUUUGAAAUAACUCACUCCAGGAAUGGAAAAUCCACAUCAGAGGAGGCUGCUACUGAGAGAUGGAACAGAGACAAGGCUGUUUGCAGCAAAGGGACUGAACUGGGUAACAUCAACCCUGGAAGGGCUCUCUCUCCUGCUCAGUCAGCUUUGUACUGUCAGUGAAGCCCGGCAAAGUGUUAAUUUGGGGUUUAAAGGCUAAUUUGGCUGAGUAGAAGCAAACCAGAAAUAAGUAUCAAAUCUCCUCCUUCCUGCCCUGUUUCUGCAAGCUGGAGAAGCUUUUGUGAGACUGGAAAGCAUCGUCUCCCACUGAAGGGAAAAGGGUUGGGACUGCUUCACACCUCACACCCUGGGGCUGUGAGUCUUGGAAGGUGCCCAAAUUUUGUGGUCUGUUAUUGGCAAAGUCCUGCUUUGUUAUGUGGUAUAAUCUGCCACAGUAUAUAAAAUGUUGCCCCAAGGAACUGUUCUCCAUAAUGUUUAUGUUCAGUAGGGUGUAUCACUGAGGAAAAAAUACUGUGUGAAGCUCAUGUCUAAGCAAAGGCAUUUUAUGAGUGUGUUUCAAGGGAUUUCUAGUGAAGUGUGUGUUGUCUGGCCUUUCAUUUGAAUUUCAGCCCACAAUAUGAUGGUUACAGCACCAGUUUCCUGCUGUUUGCAAGUCUUACAUGGGAAGUUGCCCCUUCUCUUUAAUCUUUCUCAAUGUGGGUGUUGCACUGCUGAGUUGUGGGCCGGGCAGUGGCACCUGGGCAUUGAAGAUGAGGUGAGGACACCCAGUGUGGGAAUAUGCAUGUGGAGCUCCUGUCCAGGAGCCUACAAUGGAAGCGAACAGUGUUCCUUAGUGUUGGAGGCUCUGGACAUAAAUGACAGAAGCAAAUGCCCCAAGUGUUGCAGGAGCAGGGACUGUCCAGGCUAUUCAAAUCCUCCAAGAGGCAAAAGGAGGAGAGGCCUAAGAGUCAUUAGACUCUUGCUUCGGGAAGAAAAGGAUACAAGGAGGGAAGAAGCUGAAUGGCACAAGUCCAGUCUGUGAUUUUCUCCAUAGGAUUUCGGUAUUUUGUUGGUUUUUGGGUAAGACAUUGCCCAGCCUUCCUGCAGCACCAGAAUCCCUUUCUUCCUGGAGGCAGCUGGACUGCCAGGUUUAUUGAUCUCCCGUGGAAGGGAGCCAGCUGUUUGAAUUCUUCUCAGUUUUACAAGUGUGCAUUUGUUGCCAGCAACUGCACCGGGUCUUGACUACGGACUUUGUCCAAGAGAAUUGUGUUUGUUCAUCCCCCAUCCCCUUGCAAGCUCCAGGAGUGUGGAUGAGGAAAACUGGAGGCUGGAAGCAAAGUGCCAGCACUACAGAUGGUGGGCUGAGCUCUCCCCUGUGCCACUGCCAGUGCUGUGGGCUGUGGAAAAUGCCACAUCAAACCUCUGGUGUCCAGACACUCCUCAGAGCCAGGCACUUCAUCUUGGUGAUUUUGUGAUGUUUCCAUGUCUCCAGGCUCUCCCCCCUCCCUUGUUUUGAUGGCUGCGUGGGUGGUUUUCCUUCCUCGCCUCCUGCUGCGGCUGCAGACAAGGCAAGGAGAAGAGAUGAUCUCCAGAGUGCCUUGUUACACAGACUUGCUGCUCUUUAGGGCUGGUUUUAGAGAGGAAAGGAAAUUUUAGUUUAUGUUUUCAUUCACACAGUUAAAGAUGUGGGGGGUUCAUGUUUUUCUUGUAUUGUUUUCUUGCUUGGGAAAGGGUUUAGGUCUUCUCCCCACCCACCAGGAAGUGAAGAGGAAAGUGGCCUGUGGUCAGGGGAGUGAACACUUGCUCACAAUUACUCUCCUCUUUUCCCUCAUAACCCAGUAAGGCAAUGGUGGACUUGCUGGUGCUGCUGGGGAUAUACAGCCAGUGGCAAGAGCUUCCUACAGCAUUCCAGGGGAGAACAGCUCUGGAGAAGAGCAGCUGGAAACAAGCAGUAUGUAACCACCAGCUCUUGUCCCUGCUCAGCGACUCAGGGCUUUGGGAGGGCUGGCGAAGCCGCUUCGUCCUGCUGAAGUGUGAAUGCCAGGGAAGUAAUACAUGGAGAGACGGAGACUGUAUGAAAAAAAUUCUGUCUUGCAUUGAAAUCCCUCAAGGGCCGUUUCCCUCAGCUUAUCACAAUAAAUGCACACCUUGCCACCCUAAGGUAGAAUGAGCAGAGUCUGUGUGGUUCCUGUUUGUGUCGCUUGUCUGCUGUGAGGUUUCACGGAAUCAGAGAAGCGCUCGGGUCGGAACAGACCUCGGAGGUGCUGGGCUGUGGCAGGAGGUGGCUCUGAGGGCAUCUCAGGGUGUCUCUGUGCCCGCAGCUGUGCCCAGUGUGCAUCACAAGUGUCUCUGCUCUGCUGCCACGUUCCCCGUGGCUGUCCCGGCCGGAUGUGUGUGCUCACGGCGGUCACAGCUCGUGAACUUCCUUCGGCUGCCUGGCAGGGCAGCUCCUGUGGGGAGAGAACACCGAGAGGAAUCUUUGGUAAACAGUCUUGUAAUGGGAUGCAAGUUUAGGUAAACCCACAUAUUGUGGGGAAAAUAAGCUGCAUCUGUAGUUCUAAAAACAGUCUCUCCCUGUUUGUUUUGGUGAUACUCAGCUCAUGCCGGUAAUAAACCGGGGGUGAAGACUUGACUUGUUAGGCUUGGUAUUGAUUUUAAGCCCCUCUGUUGUGGAAACAUAAUAUGUGAGAAGGACUUUUCUGGAUGCCCAGUGUUCACCAAACUGGAUUUCUCUCAAUCAAAUGGUAGGAAUUGUUCUCAUAGAACUCUCAGGGUGGAAGACAAAAUUCAUAACACGGGUUGAGCUCGGAUGUGUUCCAUCUGCCUCCUGGGUUGUUUUUUGCUAAAAUCAUUGUUCCAAACUCUAGAUAAGUCAAAUAUUUUUCUUGAAAUAUUGCAUUCAAAUUUUUAAUGGAGCCAGAGAUUAAAUUGGCUGCAGUUGUUGCAAUAGUUUCAAUAUAUCAAAAUAGAAAACACUCUACUGUGCUUAAAUAAAACCAGUUUUCUGACAGCAGGAGAAAGAUGGAAAAUUACACUUCCACAGUUAAGGCUAGGAAAGGCUUUUGGCUGAGAAUUUCUAUACAUUGUAUAUGCAGGUUGGGCAGUGUUUAUUCUGAGGUGGUGCAUCAGGAUUAUGUCUCUGCUUGAGGAGAAAAGGCAGAUUUUGGGGAGAAGGUGGAUGUUGUCAGCCUGGGCUGGCUUUCCUUGAACUCUGAUCUGCAGCAUGUUCUGAGACAUCAUCCACAAAGUGUCAUGUCAGGGCUGAGCACUUGGGGGCUUGAAAUAAAUAUUUAUAAAGUUGAGCAAGGAACUUUGCUUGUCCUGAGGCAAUAAAGUUACACUCAGAAAAUUCCUACAGAAGUCAGUGAAUUGGCAUGUGUGUAACGAGCAGAGGGUGCCAAAACUAAGAGUCUCUACAAGGUUAUUCUUACUCCUCCCAGAAAAGAAGGAACUGGGGAGACAGGAGACAAAUGGAGCUACACAAACAUUGAUAGAAUUCAGCUGUUCAAGCUCAAAACAGAACUAAAAUUUUCCCCUGUAUGUUCAAAAAGAAGGACUAAGGAUGUGUUGUUGCUGUAGCCAAGGGAGGUGAGCUCUGCCUUAUGUCCCCUUUGUGCUCCCCAACCCUGGAACUGCUGAUCUCAGUUCCUGGCACUGAUCAGGAAAACCUGAACCAAAUCCCCAGCUCAUAUCAAUAUUCUGCUAUUCAGGAAUGUUUCUGCUCAAACGUGAACAUUUGGUGUUAAUGCCAUUUGUUUAACCUCAGCUGUAUUCAGGGGAGACCUUUGGUUUAUGAUUAAAUUUAAAGUGCUUUUGUUUGGUCAGAUAUUUAAUCAAGCCUGAAAGAGUUUUAAUUGUAAUAUUUAUCUACUGUUAUUUGUCCCAGAAAAAAAAGCCUCAGUCCAGGAGCACGUCCUUCCCAGGGCAGCACCUCCAGCUCACUGUUUUUGACAUUCAGGAGGCAGGAGGGUGACUGAGCCUGAAGGCACCAGAAGACAGUGUGAAGGGUCAGCAUCCAACUGGCCUGACUGAGUUAGUGCUGUCCGGAUACAGCUCAGGUUGUCUUUACAUCCUGACUUACAACUCCUUCCUGGACUUAUUUCCCCUGUGAGACGUGAUGGGAUGAUUUAUUUCUUUAAUUAAGUCUCUGCAGUGCAGCUUUACUGGGGCUGUUUCUGUGCACGGAUCAGCCUCUCUGGAAGUUCUAAAGGCGCUGGGGUGUGAAAUGGUGACUGGUACCUGUUGUUUGAUUGCUGGGGGGUUGGAGUGAGGAGAGGAACCAGAGGCAGCUGUGCUUAACCAAGGAUCUCAGGGAAAUGUGGGAGCUGUGAGCUGCCUUCCAGGACAAAUGGAUGUUAUUCUUUUCUAGGCUUUUUCCCAGAGGAUGCUUGGACAGAGACAGAGCAGGGAGGAGAAUCAAUGCACUGUCAGAGGAGAAAGCUGAGCCUCACACCUGAGCUGCCUGCAGCAUAGGAGUGAGGGUGAUCCCUUAAGAGUGAAUCCCUGGACUUCUAGAAAGUUUCAGACAAGCUUUGGCCAGGGAUUUAAUGGAGAAACUCCCUGCCCGAGGACGUGGUGUGGAGCAGACUGUGCACAGGCUGGAGAAGCAGUGAGACAAAUUAAGAGGAAAGUCUAUUAAGGGCUAUUAAACAUAAUUACUACA
Molecule: long non-coding RNA, 6435 nt
Organism: Pseudopipra pipra
Lineage: Eukaryota; Metazoa; Chordata; Aves; Passeriformes; Pipridae
Exons: 2
Source: RefSeq, a predicted model, not a curated record